RNAcentral lists this ribosomal RNA (253 nucleotides) under uncultured bacterium. Its description in RNAcentral is "partial 16S ribosomal RNA". It matches the Rfam family "Bacterial small subunit ribosomal RNA", at positions 524 to 776 of the family's 1533-position model. The record is from RNAcentral.
UACGGGGGGGGCAAGCGUUGUUCGGAAUCACUGGGCGUAAAGGGUGCGUAGGCGGGUCUUUAAGUCAGGGGUGAAAUCCUGGAGCUCAACUCCAGAACUGCCUUUGAUACUGAAGAUCUUGAGUUCGGGAGAGGUGAGUGGAACUGCGAGUGUAGAGGUGAAAUUUGUAGAUAUUCGCAAGAACACCAGUGGCGAAGGCGGCUCACUGGCCCGAUACUGACGCUGAGGCACGAAAGCGUGGGGAGCAAACAGG